Molecule: ribosomal RNA, 253 nt
Filed under: uncultured bacterium
Lineage: Bacteria
Description: partial 16S ribosomal RNA
Rfam family: Bacterial small subunit ribosomal RNA
Source: RNAcentral
UACGUAGGCAGCAAGCGUUGUUCGGAGUUACUGGGCGUAAAGAGUGCGUAGGCGGUCCAUUAAGUUUGGUGUGAAAUCUCCCGGCUCAACUGGGAGGGUGCGCCGAAAACUGGGGGGCUUGAGUGUCGGAGAGGUACGCGGAAUUCCUGGUGUAGCGGUGAAAUGCGUAGAUAUCAGGAGGAACACCUGUGGUGUAGACAGCGUACUGGACGAUAACUGACGCUGAGGCACGAAAGCGUGGGUAGCAAACAGG